Molecule: ribosomal RNA, 402 nt
Filed under: uncultured bacterium
Lineage: Bacteria
Description: partial 16S ribosomal RNA
Rfam family: Bacterial small subunit ribosomal RNA
Source: RNAcentral
UGGGGAAUAUUGCACAAUGGGCGCAAGCCUGAUGCAGCCAUGCCGCGUGUGUGAAGAAGGCCUUCGGGUUGUAAAGCACUUUCAGCGAGGAGGAAGGUGGUGAACUUAAUACGUUCAUCAAUUGACGUUACUCGCAGAAGAAGCACCGGCUAACUCCGUGCCAGCAGCCGCGGUAAUACGGAGGGUGCAAGCGUUAAUCGGAAUUACUGGGCGUAAAGCGCACGCAGGCGGUUUGUUAAGUCAGAUGUGAAAUCCCCGGGCUCAACCUGGGAACUGCAUUUGAAACUGGCAAGCUAGAGUCUCGUAGAGGGGGGCUAGAAUUCCAGGUGUAGCGGUGAAAUGCGUAGAGAUCUGGAGGAAUACCGGUGGCGAAGGCGGCCCCCUGGACGAAGACUGACGCUC